ACUAUAUAAAGUCAUCAAAACAUUUUAAAUUUGUACAUUGAAAGGUAAAAAACAAAUGGCUGAAACUCUCAAGUUUGUUUAUAUUAUGAUACUUUUUAUUUCUCUUUUCAUCGUUGUAGUCGUUGGUAUAAUAAAGUGCGAAACUGACGAAGAUUGCUAUCGACACUUUCCAAUUGCUGAUCCAAAAACAGUGGUGUGCUUUAGAAAUGAAUG
This is a long non-coding RNA of Trifolium pratense (red clover), 213 nucleotides long. RefSeq lists it as uncharacterized. The record is from RefSeq and is a predicted model, not a curated record. Lineage: Eukaryota; Viridiplantae; Streptophyta; Magnoliopsida; Fabales; Fabaceae. The transcript has 2 exons.